This 131-nucleotide small RNA is filed under the name Citrobacter portucalensis. Its description in RNAcentral is "RtT sRNA". It matches the Rfam family "RtT RNA". Rfam says of the family: This family represents a bacterial cis-regulatory element known as RtT RNA. The exact function of RtT is unknown although it is thought that it may be involved in changing the cellular response in relation to amino acid starvation. Lineage: Bacteria; Pseudomonadati; Pseudomonadota; Gammaproteobacteria; Enterobacterales; Enterobacteriaceae. The record is from RNAcentral.
UUCUCUGCCCAUGCGGGAAGGAUGAGAAGCUUCGACUAAGGUUCGAUUCGAGCGUAACGAGAAAGCGUCACCACAGGCAACGACACCGAACACCAAAGAAACGCAACGCUGACAAUACCCCUAAACCAAUA